Long non-coding RNA from Ruditapes philippinarum (Manila clam), 340 nucleotides. RefSeq lists it as uncharacterized. NCBI's taxonomy places the organism in Eukaryota, Metazoa, Mollusca, Bivalvia, Venerida, Veneridae. The record is from RefSeq and is a predicted model, not a curated record. The transcript has 3 exons.
AUAAUUAUAAGUUAGCGAGGGAAACCUGUAAUAGCAGGUCUAAAGAAAAGGUUUGUGUUUUUGGUUUACCAGAGCACAAAGUAUUGAAGGUACUGCAAAAUCAUUUAAAUUUCAGGGCAUAAAUUUGGUGGUUUGUGAACGGUAAGAUUGUUAAUUCGUGGAAUUCAGUUGCCAGGACCUCUUUUCUUGAUGGAAGGAUUUAAGAUGUACUGCCUGCCAGCAUCCGGGAAUCUUUAAAUGGAAAUUAGGAAACAGAGUGUUGAUGUCUGGACUAUUGUACUGUUGUGAAGUUUAAGAUGUAAUUAUUUUAUAAAAAAGACUUACCUAUACAGAUCAAUUG